CCACGCAGUAAACGAUGAUUACUGGGCGUAUGCGAUAUACAGUAUGCUCCUGAGCGAAAGCGUUAAGUAAUCCACCUGGGGAGUACGCCGGCAACGGUGAAACUCAAAGGAAUUGACGGGGGCCCGCACAAGCGGAGGAACAUGUGGUUUAAUUCGAUGAUACGCGAGGAACCUUACCCGGGAUUGAAAUGUAUACGCUGGAUUUGUGAAAGCGAGUCUAUUCACUUCGGUGACGUAUAUGUAGGUGCUGCAUGGUUGU
This 259-nucleotide ribosomal RNA is filed under the name uncultured bacterium. RNAcentral's name for it is "partial 16S ribosomal RNA". It matches the Rfam family "Bacterial small subunit ribosomal RNA", at positions 795 to 1052 of the family's 1533-position model. The record is from RNAcentral.